GCGGAAAUGCUGGAAUUGGCAGACAGGCAUGACUAAGGAUCAUGUUUCCAUAGGAAGUGAGGGUUCAAGUCCCUUUUUCCGCA
Molecule: transfer RNA, 83 nt
Filed under: Lachnospiraceae bacterium
Lineage: Bacteria; Bacillati; Bacillota; Clostridia; Lachnospirales; Lachnospiraceae
Description: tRNA-Leu
Rfam family: tRNA
About the family: Transfer RNA (tRNA) molecules are approximately 80 nucleotides in length. Their secondary structure includes four short double-helical elements and three loops (D, anti-codon, and T loops).
Source: RNAcentral